ACCCGCUGAACUUAAGCAUAUCAAUAAGCGGAGGAAAAGAAACCAACAGGGAUUGCCCUAGUAACGGCGAGUGAAGCGGCAACAGCUCAAAUUUGAAAUCUGGCUCUUUUAGAGUCCGAGUUGUAAUUUGCAGAGGGCGCUUUGGCUUUGGCAGCGGUCCAAGUUCCUUGGAACAGGACGUCACAGAGGGUGAGAAUCCCGUACGUGGUCGCUGGCUAUUGCCGUGUAAAGCCCCUUCGACGAGUCGAGUUGUUUGGGAAUGCAGCUCUAAAUGGGAGGUACAUUUCUUCUAAAGCUAAAUAUUGGCCAGAGACCGAUAGCGCACAAGUAGAGUGAUCGAAAGAUGAAAAGCACUUUGGAAAGAGAGUCAAACAGCACGUGAAAUUGUUGAAAGGGAAGCGCUUGCAGCCAGACUUGCAUGCAGUUGCUCAUCCGGGCUUUUGCCCGGUGCACUCUUCUGUAGGCAGGCCAGCAUCAGUUUGGGCGGUAGGAUAAAGGUCUCUGUCACGUACCUCUCUUCGGGGAGGCCUUAUAGGGGAGACGACAUACUACCAGCCUGGACUGAGGUCCGCGCAUCUGCUAGGAUGCUGGCGUAAUGGCUGU
This 603-nucleotide ribosomal RNA is filed under the name uncultured fungus. RNAcentral's name for it is "eukaryotic LSU rRNA". It matches the Rfam family "Eukaryotic large subunit ribosomal RNA", at positions 23 to 641 of the family's 3401-position model. Lineage: Eukaryota; Fungi. The record is from RNAcentral.